This 63-nucleotide transfer RNA is filed under the name Phatnoma laciniatum. Its description in RNAcentral is "tRNA-Ala". Lineage: Eukaryota; Metazoa; Arthropoda; Insecta; Hemiptera; Tingidae. The record is from RNAcentral.
GAGAAAGUAGUUAAUAAUAACAUUUAAAUUGCAAUUAAAAAUUGUCUUAAUAGACCUUUCCCA